This 495-nucleotide ribosomal RNA is filed under the name uncultured bacterium. Its description in RNAcentral is "bacterial SSU rRNA". It matches the Rfam family "Bacterial small subunit ribosomal RNA", at positions 28 to 526 of the family's 1533-position model. The record is from RNAcentral.
GACGAACGCUGGCGGCGUGCUUAACACAUGCAAGUCGGACGGGAUUUAUUCGACGAACCUAAGUAGUUUACUAUGAGGGGGAGUUGGGUAAAUUUAGUGGCGGACGGGUGAGUAACGCGUGAGGAUCUAUCCAUUACUGGGGGACAACAGCUGGAAACGGCUGCUAAUACCGCAUAAGCCUUUGGGUGAAAGAAGCGAUUCGGUAUAGGAGGAACUCGCGUCCUAUCAGCUAGUAGGUGGGGUAACGGCCCACCUAGGCGAAGACGGGUAGCCGGCCUGAGAGGGCGCACGGCCACACUGGAACUGAGAUACGGUCCAGACUCCUACGGGAGGCAGCAGUGGGGAAUAUUGGGCAAUGGGCGAAAGCCUGACCCAGCGACGCCGCGUGAAUGAAGAAAUCCUUCGGGAUGUAAAGUUCUGUUGUACGGGAAGAGCGAGAGACGGUACCGUACGAGGAAGCCCCGGCAAACUACGUGCCAGCAGCCGCCGUAACAC